This is a non-coding RNA of Piedraia hortae CBS 480.64, 78 nucleotides long. The record is from the annotation of a GenBank genome assembly. NCBI's taxonomy places the organism in Eukaryota, Fungi, Ascomycota, Dothideomycetes, Capnodiales, Piedraiaceae.
GGGCGUGUAGCUCAGUGGUAGAGCGCUCGCUUUGCAUUGGUGUGCGAGAAGUCUAGGGUUCGAUCCCCUACUCGUCCA